This 699-nucleotide ribosomal RNA is filed under the name Microcharidius cf. elenae BMNH 1046057. RNAcentral's name for it is "partial 18S ribosomal RNA". Lineage: Eukaryota; Metazoa; Arthropoda; Insecta; Coleoptera; Carabidae. The record is from RNAcentral.
UCAUCGGAGGAACGUCGGCGGAUCGCUAGCUGGCAUCGUUUAUGGUCAGAACUAGGGCGGUAUCUGAUCGCCUUCGAACCUCUGACUUUCGUUCUUGAUUAAUGAAAACAUUUUUGGCAAAUGCUUUCGCUUCUGUCCGUCUUGCGACGAUCCAAGAAUUUCACCUCUAACGUCGCAAUACGAAUGCCCCCAUCUGUCCCUAUUAAUCAUUACCUCGGGUUUCCGAAAACCAACAAAAUAGAACCGAGGUCCUGUUCCAUUAUUCCAUGCACACAGUAUUCAGGCGAAAUUUUAGCCUGCUUUGAGCACUCUAAUUUGUUCAAAGUAAACGUGCCGGCCCGCCUYGACACUCAAUUAAGAGCACCGCGACAGGAUUAUUGAGUCGGAUGGUAGAGCGCCUGCAACCCCACCACAUCAUACAGUAACAACCGAAGUUGCACACGCACAAUGNGGAAGCAUACAAGGUCCACGCAUCCACCGGCAGGACGUUCCGCGGACGUGCCAGUUAAACACCGCGGGCGGUGAACCGACAGCGCGGAACACAAAUUCAACUACGAGCUUUUUAACCGCAACAACAUUAAUAUACGCUAUUGGAGCUGGUAUUACCGCGGCUGCUGGCACCAGACUUGCCCUCCAAUGGGUACUCGUUAAAGGAUUUAAAGUGUACUCAUUCCGAUUACGGGGCCUCGGAUGAGUCCC